This 349-nucleotide ribosomal RNA is filed under the name uncultured organism. RNAcentral describes it as "bacterial SSU rRNA". It matches the Rfam family "Bacterial small subunit ribosomal RNA", at positions 45 to 406 of the family's 1533-position model. The record is from RNAcentral.
CGCUUAACACAUGCAAGUCGCACGAGAAAGCAGUAGCAAUACUGUGAGUACAGUGGCGUACGGGUGAGUAACACGUGGAUUAUCUACCUUCUAGUGGGGAAUACCUCCGGGAAACUGGAGACAAUACCGCAUAAGCUCGUAAGAGGAAAGCAGCAAUGCGCUGGAAGAGGAGUCCGCGGCUGAUUAGCUAGUUGGCGGGGUAACGGCCCACCAAGGCGAAGAUCGGUAGCCGGCCUGAGAGGGCACACGGCCACACUGGCACUGAAACACGGGCCAGACUCCUACGGGAGGCAGCAGUGGGGAAUCUUGCACAAUGGAGGAAACUCUGAUGCAGCGACGCCGCGUGAGC